GAGUUAGUGCUGACUAUAAAAAUAAUCUUUCAUUCUGACUUGUUUAAUUUUGGUAUGACAAACAUCUUAUUAUGAUCAUAGAAUCUGAGCUAU
RNAcentral lists this small nucleolar RNA (93 nucleotides) under Theobroma cacao (cacao). RNAcentral describes it as "Small nucleolar RNA snoR8a". It matches the Rfam family "Small nucleolar RNA snoR8a". The record is from Rfam by way of RNAcentral. Lineage: Eukaryota; Viridiplantae; Streptophyta; Magnoliopsida; Malvales; Malvaceae.